GAUUUUUUUUUUCUUUUUUUAAACCAGGAUAUUGUGUUAUUUUUAUUUUAAUAAUACAUCUUUUGGGCACAUUUGCUUUACUAUGAUAAUUUAAUAUAGGAGCUAAGCUCCCAAUUAAAAGCAAAUUAUUAGGAUUUGCAGUUAAUCCAGAAGUGAAGCAGAACACUAGCAGAAUUUGCCUGUGAGUUAGGCCUUAUAUUUAUAGCAAAGAACCAACUCCUUUCUCCUCAUUAAUAUGCAUCUUGGAAAUAGCCUGUUAUUUCCAUUUAUCAUGAGGUGGAGAUUAUUUUCACAUUUGUACUUAUAAUUGUUCCUAUUUAUGUAAAACACAGAUGCUGUGUGUGUUCUGUGUGAGAAGCGGUGAGUUUGUGUGUAGAUGAGCAGCUGAAGCACGCCAGGGCCUGCACAUCUUGAAUUCUGCAUUUCACAAAUAUGGUAUAUAUUUGACCCAAUUUAUUAGCCACUGUCAAAUUUAGCCACGAUUUCUCUAUUGUCAUUUUGAAAGUAUAAUUGCACCGAAUAGUUUAGUAUCCUGCUCUUUAAUUUCUCUUCCCUUUUCUGAAGAAGGAAAGAGGAAAUGUAUGUAAACAUGAAAAUGAUGAGCUCCCUGAAAAUCCAAGUAGGAGAUAUUUAUGUAGAUUCCAGUCUCCCAAAGCUAGUGUUUCAUUUAGGUAGGAAUACAACAGUGAAUUUAUACUGGUUCAAGUACCUGGCCUUUCUGGUUUUGCAAAUUGCAUUUUAAGACCUAUGUUAAGCUACAAUCAGGGUAGAAAGCAUCAACUGAAAAUUCCAGAAACUAAUAAAUAUUCAAAUGACCCUGAUUUUAUGAUCAACCAUUUUUUCCCAAUUACAUAUUUCUCCAAGAAUUUAUAUUGGCUUCAUGAAACUAGAAACUUUUCAGAUAUGUAAAUCAAUCUUAGCAUUACUGUGCAGUAUUCUUUAAAUUAAAUUACAGUACAGAUAUCAGAUUCUAGCAGUUCUUUUGCUGCAAUGAGAUAAUUUCUGGAGGCAAGACACCUGGCCAGGCUAGAGUGGUGAUUAAUUUUAUGUGUUUAGGGUGCAAUCAUCACUCAGAAAAAGGCUUAGGGUUUGGAUGAUGGAUGAUGGGUAAAGUGCAGGCUGAUAGGACAUGGCCCAUGAAUCUGUUCUACAUCAUCAGUUCCUUUGAUCACUGGCAGAAGUUCAGAGAUACUUCUUUGCAUCUGUCCAAAAUAAACAAGGCUACCAUAUACCUUUUGCAAUAUCACUUUUAAAUACAGACCUAUUUGCAGGGGAGCUAACACUUUUUAUUUUUGCAACAAUGGCUGAGAAAAAUAAAAGGCAAACAUUUUGGCUUGCAUUUCCGUACACGUUUACAGACCAAAUGUGUGUGUGUGUGUCCAUACACAUCUAUAUACUGUAAUGAAAGGUGAUAGCAGAAAAGCAACUUUUUUUCAUCCCCACAUUGCUACCUACCUACCAUCUAUGCUAUAGAUGGGAUUCGGCAUAGCCGCUGAAAAGAAGGAUUACAUAGCCCGUCAGGAGAAGAAAAUCCAAAGUUAUUGCAAUACUGCACAGCAGUUCUUUUCCUUCAGUAAUGCUGGUGGCUACAAAUGGGUGAGAGUUUUUCUCACUACUGAUAGGAGAAUGAGCUAUGUAACCAAAGUAAUUUCGAUUAAUAAUUCAGCAGUUUAAGGGAGAAGAGAGACAGGAUUUGUACCAACCUAAAAGAAUACUUUUUUUGUAUCUCAAUUAACAAAGUACAAUUUGAUCACUGAAAGCAAAUGCUUCUUUAUCAAAUGAUUUCUACUUUUCUUUACCCAAUGCUGUCCCCUGCAGGGUGUAAGAAAUCAGAUCACAGAAGUACUCAAAGGCUAAAAAAUAAUAUAUUAUUUUAUUUUUUAUUUAAAUCCAAGAGUAGAAGAGAAAGGAAUAGCUGAAUUAACAUCAUGUCCUCUAUCAGAAUUCAUUAUCAAGCCAGCAUGAUUUAUAAUGAAUAAUCCCUUCAGAAGCUUGGCUGGGUGCUAUAUAAGAGGCAUUUCCUGAAAAUAUUCUCUCGUAUGUUAUUGCAUAUAUGCAACACUGCUUUCCAUAGGUGUUAUGAAUUCCUAGUGCUCAUGUUGAUAUUGUGUCCGUGGGCACUAAGCUGUCAGCUGUUUAUUUCAUAGGCCUCAUCAGCUACACUUAAACAUGGAAAUCAAACAGAACACACAAAUUAUAAAAUCACGGUAUGUCUUAAUGGACUUUCUUACCACUUUAUAGAGUGGGAAGUAAAAAGUAUGCAAGACGAUGCUCCAUAUAUGUGGAAAAUAUAAAACUACUGCUCUGUUUAAAAGACAGGUGACCCUUAUAAAUGAAAUACAACUCCUCGGAAAAAUUACAUGAAAAAAGUAAACAAGGGAAGUGUAAAGGUGGGAGAACUGGUUAGAUUUCAUUAAUAGGAUUAUCUUUGUACCAAACAAAAACAAAACAUGAGGCUUAAAAAACUCUGGGAGCAUUUCUUAUCACAUAGAAAUCAUGCUCGCAUGAUUACUGUCUCCUUUCUCAACUGGAAAACACUGCUUUAUCUGACUAAGUGCGAAUACUGAAAUGUUCAUUAGCUGUCUUGAAACACCAUGGCUUGUCUUUAUUGAGUUGCAUUUCAUCCAUAGCCUUUGCACCUGGGGGCACACAAUAAAUUUUUCUGCACAAAGGGUUUCUCAAGAGUGGUAUGACUGUUCCUUUUCUCCCCAGAGUCUGGAUGCAUUGCAUCAUCUUCUAUCAUACUUAGAAGCCCGGGGCCCGGGAUGAGGAAUUGUUUAGUAUCUCCAAACCAAAGCUUGCCACGUAGCAGAUCAAAUUGUUGUUGCUCUGCCACCGAGCUGACUCAGUACUUGCUUGUUUGAUUUAAGGCACAGUUCCACUGUGAAAAGUUAUUGUGGAAAUGGUAUUUUCUUCCUUAGCAGAGCUAGUUCCUACAUGUAUGAAGAAUUGUAUGUGCUGACUCAAGUGACAACCAUAAGCAUUUGCUGCUUCUGCUCUCACCAGCUCUGUGGAGCAGAGACAGAAAAGAGAAAAGCAGGUUGGAGUCUAUUUAAUCUGCAUGUGUUAAUGCUCUUUUCCUGGCAUCUGUGUGUUUACAGCUGUGCAAAUUCAGGGAGAAAUACAGCAUCCCAGAGCUGUUUACAGGAGUAUAAUUUGGCUUUCAGUGCUCUGGAGCAGCCAUGGAAAGGAAAUAUCUUUUCCCUGUUUUCUUGGAUCCCAUAGCACCUGUGAAAAGAUCACAGACUUCGAAAGUAAAUAAAUAAAAAUUGAAACAGAGUAAAUCAAUACUUCAUAGUUUUUCGUACUUACCUUUUACCUGUAGUGACUUGCAGACUUUGUGGUACCAUAGAAGAUUAUUCUGUGGCUUUCUGGCUUUGUAAAUUUGUCUCUUGUAAUAACAUCAUCUCUGACUAUUCAAAGAUAGUGGGAGAACAUAAUGGCUUUUAGCGUCGGUUGCUGCUGCUUUUACAUAAAGCAAUGCCAAUUUCUUUGUAGCUUUUCCCAGGCAGCUAUCAUGCUUUUGGAGCUGUCUGCUAAGUGUUGUGUACUGCCAGCGCGUGGCACUGCCCUGCACCGACUCUGUUCUUUUCCCACCGAGCCAUUUUGGAAAUUAGUGAGGGCUUUCUGCUUCGUCUAUCUUACCCAGUCUGUUUGUGAAACCGUGAAGGGAGUUCACAAGGAAUUGUGGUCUGAGUGCUGGUUUUAGCAUGUUCACGGUGGCCGGCUUUAUUGCUUCAGGUUGCUUCACCUAGAGAGAAGUUGUCUCUCUUCCUCAGUUUCAAGGUGACUCUGAAGUUUGCAUGAGGCUGACUUGGGCUUAUGUUCCUUCCCAAAAAUGCAGUGGUUAGAGCAAGUAAAGGAGCAAGAAGAUUUACUUGAAUAUUUCAGCUACUUAAAAGAGAUUUUGAGCUAUCCUUUUAAAAUCCUAAGUGCUACCAGAUGAUCAAACAGCCAGCAGUGUCUGCUGGUUGCUUUCAUUAUUUUUUCACACUUCAGUAGGAAUUGUCCCCUUUGCAGAGCUGUUUGUGGGGCUGUAUUUUAAAGCCAGUAGAACUGAGCAAUAUGGCAGCCUGCUUAAUUAGUCCAAUACCUUACCAUGUGUCUUCAGAGCAAUAAAGGCAAUCAGUUCACUGUUGAAUAGCAUUUUUGAUAACCAAACUCCCAAAGGCUGUCCUACCCAAGAGAAAGUGGUCAUGAACAAGCUGUGCUGUGGCACUCAAAAUAACCACCUGCCCCUGUGCUUGAAACUUCCUUAACGCUGAGGAAACAAGGAGCAGUUGACAGCUUUGGAGCCUUCUGUCCAGAGUGGUCAACAAAGUCAGCUUGUGUUGGCUUCAGGAUAUGCUGGAAACCCAUUCUUCACCUGGGAACUAAGGCUGGGUUCUCCUAUAGGGCAGUACGAUCUUAAUGCUAAAGCUGCUGGUGCUGGGAGUGUUUGGUAUAGGCAGUUGAAUUCUGUAACAGAUAUUUAUAAAUAAAAGUGAAACCUCAUAAUUAUGCUUUACACAGUCCGUUUUGAACACAGUUUCUUCUGAGGAAAACUUUGGUUCCUCUCAUCAGUUUGUAGAAAUGGUGUCAUUUCCCCAUACUGGAGGAGACAGCAGCUCUGCCCGACCUACAGAGGGUGAAAAAGAAAUAUAGGAGGUAACGGUGUGGAGCUUAUAUCCUAGUAAAAGAUAACUUAUCUCCUAGAUCCUAGCACUUAGAAGAUGAUAGCAAUAUGUGAUUUAUCAAAAAGCUGGGAUGGGGGUGAGGUUGACUUUGAUUUCUGUCUGAAAAUAGAAACUGCAAGUUUCCAAGAUUCUUUCUAAUACGAGGCUAAACUAUAAAAUAUGAGAUGACUCUUUAAACUUGCAUUUUGAUUAACCCUUUAGUUAUUGUAAUCUGAGCAACGAAUAUUUUAUUGAUUUAUGUGUGGUUGGAUUGGGUUUAUGUCCAGUAUUGGACAUAAAAUUUUUAUUUAUUUAUUUAUUUUUAAUACAGGUAUCCCUGUAAACUCUGAGUCUGGUUUAGCUUGUUCAGUAAUUCAUCAAAAUACUGUUUUGCAUUCCCAUUAGAAGGAAGAAUAUUGGCAGCCCCAAUACUCACUGUUUUGUUUUCAUGUGUAGGUGGGUACUGGAGUGCAAAUUCGCUUCCUGUUCCUUAAUAGCAGUUACCUCCAAGGACCCUGAAGAGAAUCCCUAAUGCCACUGGAGCUUUACCUUGUCCUUGGAGCCCUUUUGUUAGGAGCAUGCCUGACCAGAGGGGAUAAUAGGAACUUGGAAGACAAGUACAUUUGAAAAAUGCACAUACAUACUGCAGAGGCGUAAGCUUGACAAUCUUUAGAAGCUGUCUGAUAACUUUUUACAAAGCAGCUUGACCCCCUACUGUUAUUUUUUUAUAUUUGUAUUUACUUUAGCACACAGAAAACCAAUCAUGGUUUCUGUUGUAUGAGUUACUUUAUAAAAGUAGACAGAGGCAUGUAGCAGCUCAGAAGAGCUUACAGUCUCCUGCAAACACUUGGCACUUUCUUCCCUUCAGGUCUGAAGUUAUUGGGAGAGCAGAAAUGCUUUGAUUUUAUCCUUUUACAGAAUCUGGGGCUACAAAUGAUAAUGAAAUAUUCUUGCAAAGAUCUAGUACCCAAAUAUUUUCUUCUGGAAGAAUAUAAUCAUAAGUUUAUAUUACCACCAAUAUUAAAAGUUUGCUGUUCAACAGCACGUUACACCAGAAAAGAGAAUUGAUUGAAAGUGUAUAUCCGUUCAAAUUAUUGCAAAAGUACCCAGUUAAACCAAUAUAAAAUUAUCUUCCAUGUUGCUGUUGGGGAUCGUUCUGCUGCAUUCACUUGGAUGUCAAAAUGACAGGCCAUUAGCCUAAGGGUAAGCUAAUUAUUUAAGGGACUUCUCUUAUUUUGUACAAUAAAGACAUAUUCUUGAAAAUACAACACAAGCAUAGAUAUGCAUCAGAUAGUGACGUUCUUUUUUUUUUUUUUUUAAAUAUGAAAAUGUAAUUUUAGCAUUCAAACAGUCAAGACAGUGGUAAUUUAAAAUAAAACAAGAACAACAGUCAUUAAAUGGCUGUGUUUCUGGACUUAGAUUGAUGCUUAACACAUUGAUCUUCUUCAAUAGAAGCUUUCCAUAUUCCAUCUGUUAGAAUCUUUGACCUUUUCUUAACACCAUUAAAAGAUAAAAUGUUAAUCUACUGAAAAAAGAUGCAUGACCUUUUAAAAGUGAACUGUACCACUUUACAGUCUGCCAUCAUUAAAGAACUUUAUGCUCAGGAGCCAUGCAUUAUGUGUAUCAUAGCAAUAUAAUUGUUUAGAAUAAUGUAAUUGUUCAACCAAGAAGAUAUAUACCAUGCAUAACAUAAAUUAGAACUAGAACUAUGUGAACUUUGAAAACCCAAUCAAAAUAACAUGUCAGAUCAAGGCUUACUUUCAGUUUUAAUCAGCCUCAACCUCAAAUUUAUUUUUUAUUAAUAUGCCAAGAUUCGUGCAUAGAAGAAACCAUUGUAACAAAGGAAAAGAUUGGUAAUUUGGGAUAAACAAAACUGCAUCACUAGCAAAGAAAGAUGCUUUUUUGUUUUGUUUUAAUCACCUAUAUCUAUCUUUUUUUUUUUUUCUUUUUUUGGCAUAAGGAAAUAAAUAUGGAGCUAAUAUCUUAAACAGUACCGACGAAUUUCAGUAGCAAGAGAAUUCUUGAAAAUAGACUUAACAUCUUUCUUCUAAAUCUGAAUUGUCUCAAACUAGACUUCUGAAUAGCAAUGGCCACAAUUCAGAACAGCACCAAAGCGUGGUUUAAAUGCAUUUUAGUAAAGCAUUUAGUUUUGAGUACAGGAUAAUUUGAUUCUACUUCAAAUUAAGCUUCUGUUCUGAAUCCUGACUGCAGAGUCAAACUGAAUACAUGCUACAGGUUCAGAUAACCUAAUCUUAUUUUCUAAUGAGUUUGGUGUUUUAGAUGAAGUCCCUUAAAUAAGUUUGAGGGCAUAGUUGUCUAAUUCAUAAAGUGUCCACUUAAUAACCACAUAACAUAGGGUCCAACUAUCUUCUUCAUUUGAAUAUGAUGGUUUGCUAGUAUUUUUUAUUUUAUGGGACAAAAAAACUAUUCUAUAGAGGAAGGCUCAGAUUCUCUAAAUUUCAACUGAUAUUCUGACUCAAGUCCCAGCUUGAUCCAUUUUGCCCUGGUAGCUCUCUGGAUCCUAGGUUAGAUGCAUCUGGGUUUGAGUAUCCUCUCUCUGAACUUCUGUAUGUUUUCCACUGGAAUUGACUCCAUAAGGAAACUGCAUGCAAAAUCAAAAUAGAAGGGUUUCAAGAUGGCAUGAGCUUAGCUCUUGUAUAUUGUAUUAUUUGUUCAUAAUAAUGUAAGUAGCAUUAGCAGCAUCACUGUGCUGGGGGCUCUCAACCCUGAUGCAAUGGGUGCAUCCCAAUGAGAAAUUUAGGGCAUACGAUGGGUUGUUCUUUCAUGAAUUUGCCUUGCACCCAUACUUGAAGGCUUGCAAUGUGCAUUCAAAACUGUCUCCCACCUCAUGAAACAGGCUGAAGUCAUGUGCUGGUUUACUCUUCCCACUGACCCACUUGCGAUGCAGAUGUGCAGUCCUGCAGAAGUUGGCUCUCUGCCUGUGUACUGCAUGCCUAGGAAUGGAAACUGGCUUAAACCAUUAGGAAUGACUUCAUGUGGAUAUGCAGUGCUUGAGCCAUAACAGAUCACAGCAAGUUGAGCCCUGGUCCUGUCUCCUUUGUUCCAGAACUGGUGAUGUAGGCAUAUGAAAAGGAUUUGUGUUUAAUGCCUGGAUAGUAAGGGAGAGCAGGAGAAAUGAAGCUAUGCAGUGCAGUAGGGUAAGUGGUCAGGCUGGCGUGUUAGCCAAGCUAGCUCUAGGUGUUUCAAAGAGGUACAUUUUAAGCAGGAGGAUGAAGAGAGAGUUUAUGUAUGUCUCAGUGUUGCCAAAUCUUACAAUCUUAUCAACAGCAUUAAGAUGUAUGGUAAUGCUCUUUAAGUUCCAGCAGUAGAAACCUUGUCAUUAUUUGAGCCUAUUAGGAUUCCGUUUAAAAGAAAAAAAAAAAAAGUUUUUAGCCAGGAAAGAAAUUUGAAACUGCAUCUGAAAAAAAAAUAUCAGCAAAAAGAUAGUUUUAGAGGGUUUGCUGAGAGUAUUACAAGUAGAAAGUCGUUCUCCUGUCAAUGUCAACUUUUAACUCCAGUUAAAACUUUGUAUUCUGCUUUCUGGUCAAGUUGCUGGACUAGCUCUGUCUGUUUGUUUCUGUUAAAGCAUCAGCCCGUUUUGUAUAUGCCAUGCAUUUCAUCUUUGAAGUUAGCAGUCACUUUUUUGUCAAGCUCUCUCAUUGUUUUGACCUGCUUCCCAGUCCCAGCCCCAUUUUAUCACUGCAAAUUUCCUCUCUUGCAUAUUCUUCCCUCUAGGUCAUUGAUAGUGAAAGCAAGCAAUAUGUUUCCUGGUGUUCAACCAUGUGGCACUUCACUAGUCACAUAAUACACUAGAUAAGCAGCUGACAGUCUGUGCUGCUCUGAAUAGCAUAUGUGCAUGCCAUCUGAAAGCCAGGAGCCAGAGGACAUAGAUGCAGCCAACAGAGGGAGUCAAUGGCAGCCAAGCAGUGGCCAUUCGACCAGCACUUUGGAGAAGAGAAGAAUGGACAGCUUCGCACUUAUGGUCGUAGAGUAGAAGAUUUCAGGUUGUUUUCCCAGUCCCUAAGCAUCUUGACAGGCCCUGUGCUCUUCUGCUUUCAAGCUGCAGCUUGCCUACCUGAGAGAAGUUUAGUGCCAGCUCUGCAGGAGGAGGUGAUACCCACCAGAAGGUCAAGUAUGUUGAGGAAAGGUUGCCCCCCCCCCCCCCAUAUUUUUUAUCUGGACAUGGAAGGUAUCAUUGGUAGUGUUUGCUUUUUUUGUCUGCUAAGGAUAGCUACCGAGUAGUGUACAGAAGCUGUAAUUGCUAUCUAAUUAGCAUUACGAACUAAAACCUAUGUUGUAGAGAACACCUGCUUGCUCUUCCUUUUAGAAUAUAGUAGUAAUGUUUAAAGUCUCUUGUGCAUACUCAUAGCUUGUUACCAAACAGCUUGAAUGAUAUAGUCCCCACCAACCAAAUUGGUGUUCCCUUCAGACUAAGGAAAGUCUAGGUCUCAGUGCUGGUAUAUAUAAUGAAGAGAACAACAGUCUUUUCUCUUUGACAGAAACAAGCUGUCAUGGUAAUAGUGAAAUGAGAUACAGAAGAGAAAAUAUUUCAAAAUGUUCUUAGACACGUUCAGGCAACAUGUAAAUAGAAUAAUAAAUCUGGCAAGAAAGAUCUGUUUACUUUUUACCUGAAAGGACUAAGAAGUUUUUUUUUUUCCUUUUUAAAAUGUGAAUUUCGUUUCCUUCCACCUGAAGGCUGCACAGGAUUGCAGCUGUCCACAGCAAGAAACUCAUCAUUCACUCUCUGAUCAGCACAUACAGAUUCUGUCAAGUUUGGAUGAUGAGUAUUUUCAUCUGAAGUUGUCUUGCGGCCUUUAGAAGACCAGACUUUCAGACAACUGAGAUGUACAACAGAUACCCCAUACUGUUCACAGGUACCCAGCUCAAAACCAAAAGCUUCUUGAAGCCCAGCGUGGAGCAGAGGAGCCGAGCCCCUCGCCUCUCACCCAGCACAGCCUUUCAGCACAUGCCAGUCCUCGAGCCUACGUGUGGUCCUGUUGGCACCUUGCACACCUGAACCUUUCAGUCUCACCAUGCAACUGGAAGGAGAUCUCCACUCAGACUCCUUUUACAACCUCCUCUGUCACGUUUGGGUGGUGCAUCACUGUUUGGGACGUGGCCCUGGCAGGGAGCUCAGUGCUUUUCCUUUCCCCACGGAAGGUCAGUUUUUAAUGGUCCUUGCACUUCAGAUGAGUCCAGCCAAGAAAAUGUGUGUGGCCUCUUCCUAAUCUGAGGAGUAGGGAGUUUGGAGGUCAGGCUUAUAUGUUGCAAGUCCCCAGGCUAAAUAUGUUUUUUAAGAAUUUGUACUUCAGUAGUGACCCUCCAAGAAGGGUUUCUGGCAUCGAGGGCCCGGUCUCCGCAGGCAGAAUCCAGCGUAAUCCUGCCCAGAACAAUACAAAGGCGCAGAGGCCAUUAAGUGACUCGCCCAGCAUCCCACAGGAAGGCUGUGGCAGAAAAGAAAAUAAAAACUUGAAGGCCCUGAAACUUAGGAAUUUGGCCGCUAGAUAUGCGUUCCCACGUGUGUUCUGGCUGCUGGGUUUUCAGUGUAUUUCAGGUUUUUCCUCUCCUGUGUUAUCCCAGUAUUCAGUCAGCCUCAGCAGAAGGCAUUGCCUUACACCCCAGCAUUACCCUCCCUGACUUGCUCUUGCUUCCACAGCAUUCCCACUAUUUAUCUUUGGGAUGCACCUACUACGGGUUUCAACUGUUUGUAUUAUUACUUUUUAUGCAGUUUAUGUUUAAGAAAAUAGUAGUUUCAGUAAACAAAUACAGGUAUGUUUGCCAUAUUAUUACUGUUAAUUCCUCCAGUUUACACUGUCAUGUCUUCAAGAGAAUUAAUUUAAAUUUGACAUAAUGCAUUAAUCAGGCUGAGAUUGCUUCUAGUUAUAUGCAGUUGAGCCCAUCUUUAGCAGCUCAAUUACUGAAAAAAAUCCCCUUAGUGGCUCAAAAUAUUUGUUUGUGAUCAAGAGCAUGCAUGCCCUUCAGUCUGUAAUGCCUUCCUUUUGAUAUGAACAGAAGCAGGAGACCUGGUGCUUGUAGUUCACCAAAGUGGCUAUUUCCUUAUAACCUUUCUCUUGUAACAAUGUUUAUUCAGUUAUCAGGGAAGAAAUAUCAUUUGUCCAUGCAGCUACAAUUACCCAAUUUGUUGUAUAAAUUAUUACUUUUUUUCUCAUCUCGUGUUGAUGACAGAAUCAUUUAAUAGACUUUCAGUUGCUCAAGCUUGAAAAUUGGUUCCACAUUCUCCCUUUUUUAGUUUUCCUCCCUAGGGUGAAAGCAAUGUGGUCUAAAUACAAUUUCCAGCCCCCCCUCCUUUUUUUUAAACAUCUGCUUGUAUGAGGAUGUUGUUGUGUACGUUAGCGCUGUACAGUUUAGCACCCUUUAGGACUACCUUUGGCUCUCAGCUUCCUUGCUCCCUGGGCCAAUCAUAAUAUAUCAGGAACCGUAGAUAUUUCCUAUCUCAGCACUCUCCAUAACUCUUUUGCUCAGCUGUCUGAAGCUGUUUUCUUUAGGAAGUCCAAAGCGAGGGGGCCUGGUUGACCUGGCAUCAGUCCUAUUUAUAAGAAUAAACCCUCUUCCCUGUACACCUUUGGAGCUUUGUCAUGUAGGGGUCACAUCCGUUUAAAUUAAUAGCUAGAGCGCCCGUGACGGAACAUGGCCACGUAACCUUUAUUGUCCCGUUCUACCCUUUUGUUUGAAGUUAUAAAACCUACUCAGCUGAUUUUCUUCAAAGCUGAGGUUACAGGAUCUGCAACCGUGCCUCUGCCACAUAAUUAAUUAGGAAGGAAAAAACAGCUAUUGUCAUGUAUAGAAUAUUUUUGCAACGUGUUUAUUUGUUUGUUUAAAACCAGCAUUUGUUUUUAAAUUUUUGCUCUCCCGCUGUCCUUGCUGAAAUAAAUGCCAGUCAGGCUUGUUUGCUUAGCAUAGGAGUUCCUGUGUGGCGCUGGGAAGAAAUGAUGUAUGGAGCAGCCAUCUCAUUUCCAGCCUGCGAUCUCUGUGCUUGGCUUAGAAGUAAUGCCACCGCUGCCUCCGUGGCGCUGGAGAUGCCGGAGUUAUGAUCUUCCCACUCACGAGUCAACCUGGCUCCCUACGCUCCCACUCUGCCUCAGGUUUUAAUGAGUCUUCGGCCUCCCUGUCCUGCUCCAACUCAAAUCCAGAGUGUGAGAAGACUGCUGUAGGGGAAAGGCUGGAUUUUUCCCUGUCAAAAUUCUUUGGGCCAAGGUCUUACCUGGUGCAUGAAGAGGGCGGAAGCAACAGCCUCACCUUCUCACAGGACUCUCUACCGUGCCAGCAAACUACUUCAAGAGCUGCUUCCUCUCGAACAGCACCAGGGGCUUAUCCUUACGUACCCUAAUGGUCUCAUGCCUUCAGCAAGCUGUGGCUUACACCCUGCAUACCUCCUCAUCGCUGUUAUCACCAACGGUUUCCUCAAUGGAAAUAAUCAUGCACAUUACAGCAGUUGCCAAAACCCUCUGGCACCAGAAGCACUCUUGGAAUGAGAGCCUGAAGGCAUGCGAGGGCCUGAGCAGCUGUAGCUGCGGUGAGGAGCUUAACUCAUUUCCAUGAUGGUGGUUUCAUCCUGGCUCAUUCCAGCCCCACCAGUGCCCAUCUGCCAGGAUUAUUCAUUCCUCCCUUCUGUAACUCUGUCGAGCAAGGCAGUUCUGCGUCCUUCGUGCUUUCUGUGAAACCAUUUCCAGCAGCAAACAAGAGUGUGCUGAUUAAAAUUUAAGAGUUAUCUCAACGAGUUGAAGAUUCCUUCACCAGCUCACCUUGGCUCAGGUGUCCCCCCGGUUGCCAACAGCCUUUAACGUGCAUCAAGGGACAGAACGUGGCCAGCAAAUGAAGGCAUUCCCAGGGGGCCGUCAGCGGCUCUUCUGGGCUCUCCACCUCCAAAGAUGACCAGAUAGCAGGCACCUCUCAGCCUUAAAUGCGGGCAGAAGAGGAAUGCAAAAGAGGGAAAUGAGACCUUAACUGGGUGCUGCAUUCCCACAGCGUCCCGGAUCAACCUAUCCUCAUAACCAGCACGGGUCUGUAAGCACAAAUUCACCAGUUGUCUAACUGAGCAGCAGGUUUCUUAACCUCCGCAUUCGACAGCGCUGUGAAUGCCUGCGAUCCCCUAUCAAACGAGCAGCCCACGAGAGGAAGGCGUCCGCUUCGUGAUGAUUUCCUUUGCAUGGCCUGAGCCUUCAGCAGGCUGCGUAAGGAAGACGUCUGUGUGUGUGUGUGUGUGUGUGUGUGCCUGGCUGCGCUCCCCUCUGGUGCUGAUUUAUCUCCUGCAGGCCAAACCUGCCUUCAAAGCCCCCUGCAGCUCCCCGGCCUCGGCGCGGGCAGGAUUGGGCCGCGGGCACGUGCGGGCAGCGAGCGGGGCCGAGCACCGCGGGGCCUGCGGUGUGCGAGCGGGGCCUGGCGCGCGGCAGGCGAGCCGGGAGAGGUGCGCGGUGCACCCCGCCGCGGUGCCAUAAAAUAUGCAUAGGCCCUUCUGCUGGAAAUGAGGCUGCUUAAUUGAAAGGAAUCGGGAGGUGAAAAAUGGAAUUUGGCAGUUCUGCUCCGCUCCACCAUUUGGUGCUUGUUGUGGGACUCCAGCGAAAGGGAGCUAUCACUACGGGCAUAAUUUACUUGAUUUUAAGGAUCUGUAUGAAUUCUGGCGACAUACCAAGUAGCCAUUAGCUACGAGGAGUGUUUCCCGAUGCUCAUUUGUUUUCCAUGUGUGAAUUUUCGCUCGUCCAAACUUUCUUUAGAAAAAAAAAGUAUUUUUUCUUCAUCAAUUCCAUGUGGAAAAUACAACAAAAAUCCAGAUAAUAAAUUAUUCAGGAAACACAACAGAUUUUUUUUUUUUUUAAUGGAAAAAUACUAGUUCUGGAAUCAAACUGUCAGCUUGCUUUGAUUUUGAUAUUUUUAAGUUAAGUGUUAUAAAAUGAUAUGGCUGUUCACAUGCUCAAGGAUAGUCUUUCUGGGCAAAUUAUCCUAAAUAGAGUAACUCAAUAGCAAAGUAGGCAGGCUUUUAAUGCUAUUACUAUUAGGAAAAUACCAUUAAUAUGAGACAUAUGCAGGAUGCUAUUACAUCAGUAGGCUGCAGUUACUUACUCAGUAUGCAGGAGCGGUGCUGCGGAUCAGAGCAGAGAUGCUGGGCCUUUCACACAUGUAACGUGGCUUAGUCUUGAGGUCAAAAUCUGCUAAUGCAAUUUGCUGUAUGAGAACAAGAAUUUAAAGUCCAUGUGGUUUUAAUGACACGUUCCAAGAUGGGGGGGGGAUUUGUUUUUGUUGUGUGUGUGUUUUUUUUUUUUUUUAAUUUGUGCUGCUCACACUGAAUGUGAACUUCUUUGAAACCUGUAUCUGUGUCAGACAGAGUAAUUUGCAAAAUGAGACAAAGAAACAAAAAAAAAAAAUUCUCCAUCUAUUUAUGUGAAAAAAAAGUUUGAUUUUUGUUAUGUUUCAGAUUAUAAAGAUCAUUAUUGGUAA
Molecule: non-coding RNA, 14108 nt
Organism: Anas platyrhynchos (mallard)
Lineage: Eukaryota; Metazoa; Chordata; Aves; Anseriformes; Anatidae
Source: RefSeq, a predicted model, not a curated record